AAUAAAAUGCCUGACAAAAGGAUUAUCUUGAUAGGAUAAAUUAUAUGGACUGCCAUUUUUAUUU
This 64-nucleotide transfer RNA is filed under the name Coleolaelaps cf. liui XFX-2019. RNAcentral describes it as "tRNA-Ile". Lineage: Eukaryota; Metazoa; Arthropoda; Arachnida; Mesostigmata; Laelapidae. The record is from RNAcentral.